Molecule: non-coding RNA, 68 nt
Filed under: unclassified sequences
Description: GP20-b RNA
Rfam family: GP20-b RNA
Source: RNAcentral
GGUCUGUAAGCUGAGACCUAAAAGGCAGCAGAAUCACAGGGCGACGGUUAAAGCCCUAAAACAACCUA